Molecule: non-coding RNA, 72 nt
Organism: Pangasianodon gigas (Mekong giant catfish)
Lineage: Eukaryota; Metazoa; Chordata; Actinopteri; Siluriformes; Pangasiidae
Source: the annotation of a GenBank genome assembly
UAUAGAUACGUGUGCACGAAAAACGGCUUUCCUGAAGCCCUAUCGCCUUGAAACUCGCGGAAACGCAUUUUC